CCCUUAGAUGUCCUGGGCCGCACGCGCGCUACGCUGAUGCAUUCAACGAGUUUUACCUUGGCCGAGAGGCCUGGGCAAUCUUUUGAACCUGCAUCGUGAUAGGGAUAGAUUAUUGCAAUUAUUAAUCUUGAACGAGGAAUUCCUAGUAAACGCAGAUCAUCAAUCUGCAUUGAUUACGUCCCUGCCCUUUGUACACACCGCCCGUCGCACCUACCGAUUGAAUGGUCCGGUGAAGCCUCGGGAUUGUGGCGAGUUCCCUUUAUUGGGAGUUUGUCGCGAGAACUUGUCUAAACCUUAUCAUUUAGAGGAAGGUGAAGUCGUAACA
Molecule: ribosomal RNA, 325 nt
Filed under: uncultured eukaryote
Lineage: Eukaryota
Description: partial 18S ribosomal RNA
Rfam family: Eukaryotic small subunit ribosomal RNA
Source: RNAcentral